GUGAAGACAAUGGGCUUCAUGGUAAGAAACCUUGUUAUUACGGUCACAACAUAUCACCAGGCAGUAUUCAAGUGAAGAAGACUUUAACAUUUGUGACAGUUCAGUGGCUCUAUUUCUGAUGAAUGAACAACAGCUCUACAUAUGCCUUUGGAAGAGAAAUGUCCAGAAGAAUCCAGAGAAAUACUACAACAUACUAUUUGGCACACCUUUGAAAGUUAAUGAAAACUUGCUGAGUGAAUCAAUGAAGAAGUCAACAAAUCACUCAGUUGUCCAGGAACCAGGAUGA
RNAcentral lists this long non-coding RNA (286 nucleotides) under Callithrix jacchus (white-tufted-ear marmoset). RNAcentral describes it as "lncRNA (ENSCJAG00000059754.2)". The record is from RNAcentral. Lineage: Eukaryota; Metazoa; Chordata; Mammalia; Primates; Cebidae.